GCCGGCGAGCCUUGCAGCGCAAGCUCCCGCUGAACUCCCCCAGGGUCGGAAGGCAGCAAGGGUAGGCGGUUGAUGCGGCGUGUGCGAGUAACUCGCCUUUUUU
RNAcentral lists this signal recognition particle RNA (103 nucleotides) under Bacteroidota bacterium. Its description in RNAcentral is "Bacteroidetes bacterium signal recognition particle sRNA small type". It matches the Rfam family "Bacteroidales small SRP". Rfam says of the family: The non-coding component of the signal recognition particle in Bacteroides Lineage: Bacteria; Pseudomonadati; Bacteroidota. The record is from RNAcentral. RNAcentral also lists the same sequence under 2 other names.